AAGUCGUAACAAGGUUUCCGUAGGUGAACCUGCGGAAGGAUCAUUAAAGAGUUAGGGGCUUUGCCCCGAACCUCCAACCCAUUGUGAACCUUACCACCGUUGCUUUGGCGGACCUGCGGGUCCGACCCGCCGCCCCGGCGGAGCGUCCGCCGAAGACCCCACCAAACUCGUUUAACAGUGACGUCUGAGCAAACACAAAAUAGCAAAAAA
RNAcentral lists this unclassified non-coding RNA (210 nucleotides) under plant metagenome. Its description in RNAcentral is "partial contains small subunit ribosomal RNA and internal transcribed spacer 1". The stretch from base 1 to 46 matches the Rfam family "Eukaryotic small subunit ribosomal RNA", at positions 1786 to 1831 of the family's 1831-position model. The record is from RNAcentral.